AACGAACGCUGGCGGCAGGCUUAACACAUGCAAGUCGAGCGAGAUCUUCGGAUCUAGUGGCAGACGGGUGAGGAACACGUGGGAACAUCCCUUUCAGUUCGGAAUAACGUUGGGAAACUAACGCUAAUACCGGAUACGUCCUUCGGGAGAAAGAUUUAUCGCUGAAAGAUUGGCCCGCGUCUGAUUAGCUAGUUGGUGAGGUAACGGCUCACCAAGGCUACGAUCAGUAGCUGAUCCGAGAGGAUGAUCAGCCACAUUGGGACUGAGACACGGCCCAAACUCCUACGGGAGGCAGCAGUGGGGAAUAUUGGACAAUGGGCGCAAGCCUGGUCCAGCCAUGCCGCGUGAGUGAUGAAGGCCUUCGGGUUGUAAAGCUCUUUUGUCCGGGAAGAUAAUGACUGUACCGGAAGAAUAAGCCCCGGCAAACUUCGUGCCAGCAGCCGCAGUAA
RNAcentral lists this ribosomal RNA (449 nucleotides) under uncultured bacterium. RNAcentral describes it as "partial 16S ribosomal RNA". It matches the Rfam family "Bacterial small subunit ribosomal RNA", at positions 29 to 523 of the family's 1533-position model. The record is from RNAcentral.